This 253-nucleotide ribosomal RNA is filed under the name uncultured bacterium. RNAcentral's name for it is "partial 16S ribosomal RNA". It matches the Rfam family "Bacterial small subunit ribosomal RNA", at positions 524 to 776 of the family's 1533-position model. The record is from RNAcentral.
UACGGAGGGGGCUAGCGUUAAUCGGAAUUACUGGGCGUAAAGCGUGCGCAGACGGUUGCGUAAGUCAGAUGUGAAAGCCCCGGGCUCAACCUGGGAAUUGCAUUUGAGACUGCAUAGCUAGAGUGCGGAAGAGGGAAGCGGAAUUUCCGGUGUAGCGGUGAAAUGCGUAGAUAUCGGAAGGAACACCAGUGGCGAAAGCGGCUUCCUGGUCCAGCACCGACGUUCAGGCACGAAAGCGUGGGGAGCAAACAGG